This 257-nucleotide ribosomal RNA is filed under the name uncultured Gardnerella sp. RNAcentral's name for it is "partial 16S ribosomal RNA". It matches the Rfam family "Bacterial small subunit ribosomal RNA", at positions 99 to 355 of the family's 1533-position model. The record is from RNAcentral. Lineage: Bacteria; Bacillati; Actinomycetota; Actinomycetes; Bifidobacteriales; Bifidobacteriaceae.
CGAACGGGUGAGUAAUGCGUGACCAACCUGCCCCAUGCUCCAGAAUAGCUCUUGGAAACGGGUGGUAAUGCUGGAUGCUCCAACUUGACGCAUGUCUUGUUGGGAAAGUGUUUAGUGGCAUGGGAUGGGGUCGCGUCCUAUCAGCUUGUAGGCCGGGGUAAUGGCCCACCUAGGCUUCGACGGGUAGCCGGCCUGAGAGGGCGGACGGCCACAUUGGGACUGAGAUACGGCCCAGACUCCUACGGGAGGCAGCAGUC